Molecule: RNA transcript, 1676 nt
Organism: Diospyros lotus (date-plum)
Lineage: Eukaryota; Viridiplantae; Streptophyta; Magnoliopsida; Ericales; Ebenaceae
Exons: 7
Source: RefSeq, a predicted model, not a curated record
UUGUCAUUAUGUGGCAGUCAGUAGGCUCAGACAUACUCUCCCUCGGGGUUCCUCUUCCUCCGUAUCUAAACCCCCUUCUCUUCUCGCAAGAUGGCGGCCGCUGCAAUGCCUCACCGUCUCCACUUCCUCGCCGGCGCCGGCCCCGCCUUCUCUCGCUUCUCCAAACCCCACCUCCGCCCUUCCUCUGCCCGCAUGUCCCUCAGGGAAGACGGCCCUUCGCUCGCUGUGGUCGGCGUUACCGGCGCCGUCGGCCAAGAAUUCCUCUCCGUCCUUUCCGAUCGCUCCUUCCCUUACCGCUCCAUCAAAUUGCUCGCAUCCAAACGCUCCGCCGGUAAGCACCUCACAUUCGAGGACAAGGACUACGUUGUCGAAGAGCUCACCCCGGACAGCUUCCGUGGCGUCGAAGUUGCUCUCUUCAGUGCAGGUGGUUCCAUCAGCAAGCAGUUUGGGCCGAUCGCGGUCGAUUGCGGCUCUGUUGUCGUUGACAACAGUUCGGCAUUUCGGAUGGACGAGGGGGUGCCGCUUGUCAUUCCCGAAGUCAAUCCGGAGGCUAUGGCGCAUAUCAAGCUUGGGUCUGGAAAGGGGGCUCUAAUAGCGAACCCUAACUGCUCGACUAUCAUAUGCUUGAUGGCCGCCACGCCCCUUCAUCGCCGUGCCAAGGUGUUGCGUAUGGUUGUAAGUACGUACCAAGCAGCUAGUGGUGCUGGUGCUGCUGCGAUGGAAGAGCUUGAACAGCAGACUCGUGAGGUCCUGGAAGGAAAGGAGCCAACUUGUAAAAUUUUUAAACAACAGUAUGCUUUUAAUCUCUUCUCCCACAAUGCACCUAUCAUGUCAAACGGCUACAAUGAAGAGGAAAUGAAGUUAGUAAAGGAGACAAGGAAAAUAUGGAAUGAAAUCAAUGUCAAAGUAACAGCCACAUGCAUAAGAGUCCCAGUUAUGCGUGCACAUGCUGAAAGUGUGAACCUCCAAUUUGAGAAGCCUCUUGAUGAGGUAAUAUUGCAUUGUAAACCGAAGUUCUGGAGACAGCAAAAGAUAUUCUGAGUAAUGCUCCUGGCGUAGUGGUUAUUGAUGACCGGGCUGCCAAUCACUUCCCUACCCCUCUUGAAGUCUCAAACAAAGAUGAUGUUGCAGUUGGUAGGAUUCGGCGUGAUGUGUCCCAAGAUGGAAACUAUGGGUUGGAUAUCUUUGUUUGUGGUGAUCAAAUACGCAAGGGAGCUGCUCUUAAUGCUGUUCAGAUUGCAGAGAUGUUGCUAUAGGCCAGAUUUGAUUCUGCCUGUGUAACUUUUAUGUGGCAUAUUUGUUUGGUAAGAGGAAGUGAUGUCAGUUGAGCAGAGCUUAUACUUAUUCCACAACUGUGGAUGUCAUUCACAUGGCUAGAUAAAACAAAUUUGAGUGCUUUGGUCACCAACAGUUAGGAUAGUCGUUUUUUUUUUUUUUUUUGCUAGUCACAAACUUACCCGCUCUCUUGGGGGUAUUGUAGUAGUCUCCAGGGAACUUCUAUCAGAAGAAUUUUGUAUUGUUUAAUCAUUAAUCAUGUUAUUCUUUUGUGACUAAUUACCCCGUAUCCGAGCAUUAUGUUUCGUUUCUCGAGAGAACAAAAGUAGCUAGCAGUGAUUAAAAAUUGCGAUGCCUAUUCCAGAACAUGAUUAUCAUAUAUGUUAUUCAUGUGCCCUCUU